AGAGUUUGAUUCUGGCUCAGGAUGAACGCUGGCGGCGUGCCUAACACAUGCAAGUCGAACGGGACUGAUUCCUUGGAGAUUCGUCAAAGAGGAUGAAAGUUUAGUGGCGGACGGGUGAGUAACGCGUGGGUAACCUGCCUCAUAGAGGGGGGACAACAGCUGGAAACGGCUGCUAAUACCGCAUAAGCCCACACUGCCGCAUGGCAGAGGGGGAAAAGAUUUAUCGCUAUGAGAUGGACCCGCGUUUGAUUAGCUAGUUGGCGGUGUAACGGACCACCAAGGCGACGAUCAAUAGCCGGACUGAGAGGUUGAACGGCCACAUUGGGACUGAGACACGGCCCAAACUCCUACGGGAGGCAGCAGUGGGGAAUAUUGCACAAUGGGGGAAACCCUGAUGCAGCGACGCCGCGUGGGUGAAGAAGUUUUUCGGAAUGUAAAGCCCUAUCAGCAGGGAAGAUAAUGACGGUACCUGACUAAGAAGCCCCGGCUAACUACGUGCCAGCAGCUGC
This 509-nucleotide ribosomal RNA is filed under the name uncultured bacterium. RNAcentral's name for it is "bacterial SSU rRNA". It matches the Rfam family "Bacterial small subunit ribosomal RNA", at positions 8 to 518 of the family's 1533-position model. The record is from RNAcentral.